GAAAUGUCAUGGAAGCUUCUACUCGAACAAGGUGCUUUGCUUAAGGGAGACUAUUGCGAGUAAGAGAGGUCCUAGUCAAGAGCGAUGAGGUUUGGGAUAUUGGGAUCUUCACCUUGCUAUGUAUGAGUCUUAUCGGCCUAUUGAUACCUUAUCGGCGCCGAGUUAAGGAGGUUCAUGUUGAUGCAUCCAAGGUCACGCGCGAAGUUGAACACAAUUAUAAAGAUCAUGCUUGAAGAUUGAUGUGUCCUAAC
This 251-nucleotide long non-coding RNA is filed under the name Setaria italica (foxtail millet). RNAcentral's name for it is "long non-coding RNA (SITA_LNC002872)". The record is from RNAcentral. Lineage: Eukaryota; Viridiplantae; Streptophyta; Magnoliopsida; Poales; Poaceae.